GGGGAUGACAUGGUAUCGAUUGGAGCAAAGAGGGUUAGUUGCAUGUCGGCCUGAACAUGCCGUUAGACGGUUCAUUUUUUUUAAACGCAAAUAAUAAUAAUUAUUCUCCAGCUUACGCAGCAGCGUAAGUUUUAAUUUAGACUCCCCUUUAUUGGGUCGUAGACUAGGAGGUCCAUUCUACUGAUGCUAUAUAGGUAGAACUAAAUGGGCUCACCCCCAAUAGCUUAUUUUAAGAAAGUUGAUUUGCUUCUUAGAAAACAUUUAGAAUCUUAGCUUUUUAAGAGCCUUGCAGGUUGAUCUUUUAUAAAGUGAAAUUAAUCAAUCUUUUACUAAACAUGUAGACGCUAAUUUGAUUUGUUUUAAGACUGGAGUUCAAUCCUCCACAUCUCCACCA
Molecule: transfer-messenger RNA, 394 nt
Filed under: Campylobacteraceae bacterium
Lineage: Bacteria; Pseudomonadati; Campylobacterota; Epsilonproteobacteria; Campylobacterales; Campylobacteraceae
Also listed under: 2 other names
Rfam family: transfer-messenger RNA
About the family: Bacterial tmRNA, also known as 10Sa RNA or SsrA, is named for its dual tRNA and mRNA-like properties.
Source: RNAcentral